This 378-nucleotide unclassified non-coding RNA is filed under the name plant metagenome. Its description in RNAcentral is "partial contains 5.8S ribosomal RNA, internal transcribed spacer 2, and large subunit ribosomal RNA". The stretch from base 1 to 105 matches the Rfam family "5.8S ribosomal RNA", at positions 50 to 154 of the family's 154-position model. The record is from RNAcentral.
GAAAUGCGAUAAGUAAUGUGAAUUGCAGAAUUCAGUGAAUCAUCGAAUCUUUGAACGCACCUUGCGCUCCUUGGUAUUCCUUGGAGCAUGCCUGUUUGAGUAUCAUGAAAUCUUCAAAAUAAAUCUUUUGUUAACUCAAUUGGUUUCUACUUUGGUAUUGGAGGUCUUUGCAGCUUCACACCUGCUCCUCUUUGUUCAUUAGCUGGAUCUCAGUGUUAUGCUUGGUUCCACUCGGCGUGAUAAGUUAUCUAUCGCUGAGGACACUGUAAAAGGUGGCCAAGGUAAAUGCAGAUGAACCGCUUCUAAUAGUCCAUUGACUUGGACAAUACUUUUAUGAUCUGAUCUCAAAUCAGGUAGGACUACCCGCUGAACUUAAGC